Molecule: long non-coding RNA, 2152 nt
Filed under: Marmota monax (woodchuck)
Lineage: Eukaryota; Metazoa; Chordata; Mammalia; Rodentia; Sciuridae
Source: RNAcentral
UUGUUAAACUUGUUUUCUGCAUCUAGAGAUGAUCAUGUGGUUUCACUAAUUUUUUUGACAUGGUUUGUAUUAUAAUUUAUUUGACUAUUAAACCAACCUAGCAUUCCUGGAAUGAAUCCCAUAUUAUUCACUUCAUAUGUUGCUGGUUUAUUGUAUUUGUUGAAGGUUUUUGCAUCAAUAUUUCCCUUGCCUGCCUUCACCUGAUCCAGGUGAAGCAGUAGGGUGUGACUGAUGCAUCUGCUGUCUCCCUGUGCAGGCCUGAGUGGUGCUCCAUCCCUCACUAAGAGGCUCUUCCUCCACAGCCAGGAGGCAGCUGCACCACUGUAAGACGUGGCUAUUUUUUCUUGGCCCUUUUACUUCCUUAAAUUUAGUAUACAAGUUUAGGCCAGUUUCACCAGUCUUAAGGUAGGAGUACUGGGUUUUAAGUUUAAUGUUUAUAACUUUAUAGUGAUUUACCCUUUCAUUUAUCUGGGGGUCAGUAAAAGUACUAGAAGUUAGACUUACAUUCUGUCUGUUCUGUAGGUAAUGUCCUAUCAUCUCAAAUUAACUCAGGUCGUUAUAUUAGAAAUUGUACUUUUGCAAGGCACUAACAGACGAUAGUUAUAAAAAAUACAAGGAAAAUACAAAAUAAAAUUAACAAAAGUAAAAACAUAUUGAGUUUGUAUAAUAACUAUGAACAUAAUAGCUAAAGGAAAUAUGGCUGCAGAUGUAGCCCUGCAAAGCCUGCUUUACAGGGUUUUUCAAUUGCCACAUUCCUAUGGGAAAAUUAUUUUCUGUCUUCUGAACUCCCAAUGGAAGAGGCUCAACAGGCUGUAGGGAUACAAGUAGACCAUAGAGAAUGGUGGGUUUCUCCUAAUGACACCCUAUUACUCCCUGAAGCAUCCCAGUGGAAGAUUCUAAAGUUGAUCACUUCUACUAUUUGGGAAGAGAUAACACUCUUACCCUAAAACAGAAAAUAUUUUCAGAAAAGGGCUUAAGGGACACAGUCCAACAGAUCAUCCAAAGCCAUAAAAGCUGCCUUAUGUUUUUUGCCUUUCCUUGGGCUCUUACAGCCCUGUUGCUUAUUCUUCUUUUUGGUCCUUACAUUAUCUGUUUGCUUAUUCACUUUGUUUCCUUUCGUGUAAAGGCAAUAAAAUGGAGUCCCAAUGGCCAUCCCUCCAGACUUCUACCAUGGAUCCAUCAACAGACCCACUGAUAUAUACCAUCAGUGUUGGCCUCUGGAUUGGCCUGCUGCUUCUCACUUGUCCUAGAACUUCCUCAGAAGGAUAUCCCUGUUACUCUGAUGAUGCCCCUUGUCAGCCUGAAGUAAGUAGUCACUGCCCCAACUCCCAACAGUAGCUGGGGUAUCCUCUGAGAGAGGGGAUUAGGGUCAAUGUAGAAGAGCUUAGGUAGCCAGGGCAAGGUGAUGAGUGAGGAGGUCAAGGGCAGGGCCAGAACAAAGGAGCAUGGAGAGGGUCUUCUAAUGAGGUCAAUUUCCUGUUUGACAAAAGGCUCCUGGACACAAGUGGGGGACCCAAUCAGAUAGACACUUCUAUACUUGUGCUCCUAAGUGGGGGAUCCAAUACAAAAACAACAGAUGUCUGGUCAGAGGGGGGUACCAAUCAAUAAUAGUAACAAGAAAAAAUGGGAAGAAAAAUUAAAAAGAAAUAAAUUAAAAGGUACAAAGUUUCAAUUAUGCUAGGUGAGUUCUGUGGUCUACUACUAUAUAGCAUAGUGCCUAUGGCAAUAUUGCAUAUUUAAAAUGCACUGAAUGAGUAGAUCUUACAGCCAGGCGUGGUAGCGCAGUCCUGUAAUCCCAAUGGCUUGGGAGGCUGAGGGAGGAGGAUCAGGAGUUCAAAGCCAGACUCAGCAACUAUGAAGCACUAAGCAACUGAGAGAGACCCUGUCUCUAAAUAAAAUACAAAAUAGGGCUGGGGAUGUGGCUCAGUGGUCAAGUGCCCCUGAGUUCAAUUCCCAGUAACCCCCCUGCCCAAAAAAGUGGAUCUCACAAUGUGGUUUUUUUUUUUUCCACAAAAAUGAAAAGGAAAAAGAAGAAAAAGAAAAAAGCCAUAAAGCUUGGAGGAGGAAUUUACAGCCUUGAUGGUGGUGAUGGUAACUUAGUGUAUCUUACCCCAAAUUCACUGAGUUGUAAACAUUAUGUACAAAAACAAAU